RNAcentral lists this small nuclear RNA (20 nucleotides) under Arabidopsis thaliana (thale cress). Its description in RNAcentral is "snRNA_02013". The record is from RNAcentral. Lineage: Eukaryota; Viridiplantae; Streptophyta; Magnoliopsida; Brassicales; Brassicaceae.
AGAAAUCUCGUGUGGAACAA